This is a long non-coding RNA of Equus asinus (donkey), 1215 nucleotides long. NCBI's taxonomy places the organism in Eukaryota, Metazoa, Chordata, Mammalia, Perissodactyla, Equidae. The record is from Ensembl.
GAAGAAACAAAGGAGGCGGGGAACGGCGAAGGGGUGCGGCCGAAGGCCCCGCCCUCUCCUGCGUUGGGUAGUUUCUGGGAGUGCGCUGCGAACGCUGGGUCUUGGAGGUGGUGGCCUCCGCGGCGCUUGUGACUGUUGCUGUUGUCACUGUCAUUCUUGCUGCUGCCAGCCUUUGCGCGGGCACCUGAAAGAAGCCCUGGGGAAAACUGUUUCUCAGAAAGUGAACAGAAUCUCCCCUGGACCUCCGUCGUCUCAUUGAUGAGACAAAUCCUGAUCCAGGAAAACUUCCGCCUUUUUCUGAUGGUGAAUUUCAUCCAAGCCUUCCAUUGACCUUUCUUCAGUAACUUCAUGGUGAUCUUCGCAGAUAAUCUUGUUCCCGAGGGUGUUCUUCCUUCUUCCAUAAGGAGCAUCGAAGACAGGGCAGGCUGUAUAUGCCCACAGUUAUGUGAUGAUUCUUCGUGUAUCUUCCUACAAGGAUUAAAGAUUUAACUCUUACCUGGCUGAGGAAAUUAAAAACCUGAUUGUAUCAGUAGUUUGAAAAAAUGACACGCAUUUAUUAAGAAAUCCAAAGAUUCAUAGCCUCAGACAUUAUACAAGAUUCAGUAGAAACAUAAUGGAUACAAGAGAUGAAAGGAAAAAGAGGAAGGAGAGGCCAAUGAGGGCUGAACGAUGUGAUAAUUAAACAUUUUAGCUUUUGAAUUUUGUCCCCCUGAGCUUUCUCAUUUAAGCCUCAGCAGAGCUGUGGAAGAAAAUAAAUGACUUCCUGUGAGCAUGUGGUUUUGCUUUACCUGGGUGUUUAAGAUUCCUGUGACUGUUACAAGGAAGAAGAGUGGCUUGAUCAAGAAUUCGUGAAGCCAGAUUUCAAAACGCUUGGCUGAACGACUGAGUCCUGGAAUUCCAGAGCAUUGUUAAAAUUCCAUGGUCAUGACCAUUACUGUAGAGAGCAUGUCCUCCUUCAAAAAAUGUAUCGGCCUGCUGUUUAUUGCACCAUUUGGAGAUUUUUUUUUUUUUUUAAGAUUUUAUUUUUUCCUUUUUCUCCCCAAAGCCCCCCGGUACAUAGUUGUGUAUUCUUCGUUGUGGGUUCUUCUAGUUGUGGCAUGUGGGACGCUGCCUCAGCGUGGUCUGAAGAGCAGUGCCAUGUCCGCGCCCAGGAUUCGAACCAACGAAACACUGGGCCGCCUGCAGCGGAGCGCGCGAACUUAACCACUCGGCCAC